This 4552-nucleotide long non-coding RNA is filed under the name Homo sapiens (human). RNAcentral's name for it is "HSALNT0113016". Lineage: Eukaryota; Metazoa; Chordata; Mammalia; Primates; Hominidae. The record is from RNAcentral.
GGUGAUACGGGCUAUUUUCUGACCCUGAUAUGGAGAGAGUACCCCUUCCAGAGGAAUCUUUAUUGUUUGCUGCAGGUAGAAAGAGAUAGGUCAGCUCAGCCUUUCUGAAAUUAUUUCUCUAAUGUUUUUAACUCAGAAUAAUCAACAUACCAAGUAGGCAUAUUUGGGGAUGGCACAUUGUUCACUCCUUUACUCUGAAGUUAUGUCUUUUCAGGGCUUGCAAAACAAUGACAGGACUAAAAAAAUGCUGAUAUUGUAAAAAACUUUUUUUCCCAGACUAUAGAUUUUGUGUAUAUAAUGAGUUGAUAAACUCUGAGAACAUCAAUUUUUAGUCAGAUUUGGUCAAAUUCAAAUUUACCUUGGUCACUUACUACUUGUGUGAUCACAGGAGCAGGACUUCAUUCCAUUAUCUAUUAAAUGGGGGACAAAGACACCUGCCAGUAGAAUUGUCAUGGAGAUGAAGGAUAAUGAUGGAUGCACAUGAAGCACAACCCAGUGCCUGGCACUUGAAAGGACAGAAUUGGAAAUACCGGUUAUAUUACUAAGACUCUGACUGGGAUACUAUAUUUGAGAAGAUACAAAGAACAUCUAGCUUCAAAGAUUCUCAGCCUCAUAGUGGCUCUCACUUCCUGGCAGGCCCAGGAACCUCAGGAUAUUUUGGAGAGCCCAAGACAAGAGGAAUUCACUAAAAUCUAUAGGUAUUGCAGGCAAAGUUUGAUGAUGAGUCCUUGGCUUGACAUUAUAGCUUUGAGAGGCUUUUAAAAGACAAAUCUGAUAUUUCUUAUAAAAAGAUUCAGGAAAGUAAACUUAAAGGGGCCAACAACAGCCAAGCUGAGAGGUAAAUCAGGAAGGCAAUCCCAUUCACAAUUGCCACUAAAAGAAUAAAAUACCUAGGAAUACAGGUAACCAGUAAGGUAAAAGAUCUCUACAAUGAGAAUUACAAAACAUGGCUCAAAGAAUCAGAAAAGACAAAGAAAUAGAAAAGCAUCCCAUGCUCAUGGAGAGGAUGAAUCAAUAUUAUCAAAAUUGCAUACUGCUCAAAGCAAUUUAUAUAUUCAAUGCUAUUCCUAUCAAACUACCAAUGACAUUCUUCAUAGAACUAGGAAAAACUAUUUUAAAAUUCAUAUGGAACCAAAAAAAAAAAAGCCUGAAUAGUCAAGGCAAUCAUAAACAAAAAGAACAAAGCUGGAUGCAUCAUGUUACCUGACUUCAAACCAUACUACAGGCUACAGUAACCAAAGCAGCAUGGUACUGGUACAAAAACAGGCACACAGACCAGUAGAACAGAAUAGAGAGCCCAGAAAUCAGGCUGCACACCUACAGCCAUCUGAUCUUCAACAAUGCUAAACAAAUAAGCAAUGGUAAAAGAUUUCCUAUUCAGUAAAUGGUGCUGGGAUAACUGGCUAGCCAUGUGCAGAAGAUUGAAGCUGUACCCCUUCCUUACACCAUAUACAAAAAUCAUAUCAAGAUGGAUUAAAGACUUAAAUGUAAAAAGCAAAAUUGUAAACUCUUGGAAGACAACCUAGGCAAUACCAUCCUGGACACAGGAAUGGGCAAAGAUUUUAUGACAAAGACAUUGAAAGCAAUCUUAACAAAACCAAAAAUUGACAAAUGGGAUCUAAUUAAACUUAAGAGCUUCUGCACAACAAAAGAAAUUAUUAGGAGAGUAAACAGUUAAUCUACAAAAUGGGAUAAAAUAUUUGCAAACUAUGCAUCUGACAAAGGUCAGAUUUAUAAGAAACAUAAUCAAAUUUACAAGAAAAACAAACAAUCCCAUUAAAAAGUGGGCAAAGGACAUGAACAGACACUUCUCAAAAUAAGACAUACAUGUGGCUGACAAGCUUAUGAAAAACAGCUCAAUAUCACUGAGAAUUAGAGAAAUGCAAAUCAAAGCCACAGUGAGAUACCAUCUCACACCAGUCAGAAUGGCUAUUGUUAGAAAGUCAUAAAAUAACAGAUGCUGGUGAGGUUGCGGAGAAAAGGAAACACUUAGAUACUGAUGGUGGGAGUGUAAAUUAGCUCAACAAUUGUGGAAAGGAGAAUGGCGAUCCUCCAAAGGGCUAAAAGCAGAACUACCAUUAAGCCCAGCAAUCCCUUUACUGGGUGUAUACCCAGAGGAAUAUAAAUCAUUCUACCAUAAAGGCACAUGCACGUGAAUGCUCACUGCAGCACUAUUCACAAUAGCAAAGACAUGGAAUCAACCUAAAUGUCCAUCGAUGACACAUUGGAUAAAGAAAAUGUGGUACAUAUACAUCAUGGAAUACUAUACAGCCAUGAAAAAGAACAAGAUCAUGUUUUGAAGGAGCAUGGAUGGAGCACGAGGCUAUUAUCUUUAGCAAAUUAACACAGGAAUAGAAUACCAAAUAACACAUAUUCUCACUUAUAAGUGAGAGCUGAAUGAUGAGAACUCAUGAAUACAAAGAAGGGAAAAACAGAACCUGGGGUCUACUUGAGGGUGGAGGGUGGGAGGAGGGAGAGGAGAAGAAAAUGUAACUAUUGGGUACUAGGCUUAAUACCUGGCUCAUGAAAUAAUCUGUAAAACAAACCGCUGUGACACAAGUUUACUUAUAUAGCAUGUACCCCUAAACCUAAAACAAGUUUAAAAAAAAAAAAAAUAAGGAUUUGCUUCAUAGUUGUAUCAGAAGUCUUCAACGUGAAAAAGGGGCCUAUAUUGUCAAUCACUAUUUUUGCUGUGCUUACAUAAUCAGGCAAAGUAUGAUGAGAGUAAAUUUAUUUUUAUAAACAAAUUAGUCUUACUUUGAUUAACUCAGGUAGAAAUUGGGGUGACUAUAGAGAUAAAAAGUACGUUUCUAAAAAAACUAUAGUAUACUUGUUAUUGGAUUAUAGCUCUAUUCAUUGUUUGUUUAUUUGUUUAUUUAUUUAUUUAUUUUGAGAAAGAGUCUCACUCUGUCACCCAGGCUGGAGUGCAGUGGUGCGAUCUCAGCUCACUGCAACCUCUGCCUCCCAGGCUUAAGCGAUUUGCUUACCUCAGCUUCCUGAGUAGCUGGGAUUACAGGUGCCCGCCAUCACAUCUGGCUAAUUUUUGUAUUUUUAGUAGAGAUGGGGUGUUGCCAUGUUGGCCAGGCUGGUCUUGAACUCCUGAGCUCAGGUAAUCUGCUCAUCUCAGACUCCCAAAGUGCUGGGAUGACAGGCGUGAGCCACCAAGCCUGGCUGUUUUUGAAUUUUUAUUAUCUACCUGUAGAUUGGACUGGAUCCUCAAACUUUUCUUGUUCCCUUCAAUAUCUGGCUUCCACUAGUGACAAGAACAGUUCUGUUCUUGAAGCCCUAUAAUCUGGAGCCCGACAAGUCAACAUCAUUUUCUAGGGGCAACUUUGUGCCUUGAGAGUUCACUGAAAUGACAAAUGCCACAACCAGAGACCUUCAUACUGCAAACAGGAUGAGAAGUUGACAACUUCAAGUUGUGGACAGCUUUUCCCAAGACAUAAGAAUAAGAUUCAUCAUCAUGAGACUCUUACCCCUCUUAAUUAUUUUCCUUUCCUAUGUUUCCCUCUUUUGCUUGGAAGUAUAAUACUGUCAUUAAAGUCUCACAAUUAGUAGCUUCUGUGGGUAACUUGAGGGAGUGUUGAAUCUCUCAUGCCAAACCCAAAUCUUUACAUUAUGUAAGAGAUCCUUUAGUCCACCCAUGAGCUCACUUUAGCAACAUUCCUAACAUAACUGCUCAAAUUGCACUACUGCUCCCUUUUAUGGGAUCAGAUUCUAGACCUAUUUGUUCUCACUCUGUGUUUUAAUUUAACCUAGUCAUGGAAUACUAAAUAAUACUUUCCUGAAAUUAGCAUAUUUGCAGCAACCAAUUAGAAAGGGCCCAUUUGACCUAAGCCAGUGUAAUUAUGAAGUCCUCUUUGCUUUAACUCUUAAAAGCAACUGAAGUAAUCUUAUGUUAACCAAUCUGUUUUUGUUUUUUAUCCCGUUUACUUGUCCCAACCUUAUAAAAAUCAACAGUGCUGCCAUGCCCAGAGCAGCACUUCAUCUAUUUUAUGGAAUGAGAUGCUAUAAUGAAUGAGAACUCAGGAAGAGAACCCAUAAAGUUGUUUAUGAACUUCUGGGCUGACUUCAACCUGCAUAUGCAUGAAUCUGGUUCUAGUCAGCAUACCAAAGAGUUUGGAGAACUGAGCUAAUGCAUAGGUUAUUAUAUAGGUCCCAGACUGACAACUGAGUAGUGUACACAAGGGACAAAUCCAAAUAGUACUGAGCCACUGCAAAAACUUUGAAAUUGAACUGAAGCAGUAACUAUAUGCUAUAGAAGAUGGGUAGAAAUUUGCAGCCUGAACUUUUGUUUUAACAAGUAGAUUGCCUGCAAAACCAAAAAUAUCAACAUUUUCCAUAGGAUUUAAGUAAAACCCAGAGUCCUAUAACAUAAUAAUCAAAAUAUCCAGGAUACGAUAGAAAAUAUAUAUGUGAAGAGAGAUGAAAAUGUCAACUUUGAUGGGAAAAUACAAUCAACAGAUGCCUACAAUCAGAUGAUGUAGAUGUUGGAAUUAUCUGACAGGGAUAUUAAAGCAGCUAUUUUUAAAUUGCUCAAAUGUAUAAUCAU